GCUGAGACACGCGUAAUGAACUGAGUAUUAGCGGCAAUUUUAAACCGAAAGCGUCCCAUGUACACCGGCUUAUUGGCGAGAGAGCUCUUUACCUUCAACAGGAGUUGCAUCUGAUCACGUCAACUUCGGUGUAAAUUCAAAAAGGCUUUGCUCAAGGAUGAAGUAAGGAAAAUGUGACCAUUUCUCAUCCAAUGAAUGUGAGCAAGAGAGAAAUGACAUCAAUGUUAUCAACUGAUUAAACGACUCAUAAUCCAGCCGAUAAGGUGAUGCUUUAGAAGAGGUGCAUUACUCUCUGCAGUGGGAAAGAAAGGUUACGAGAGCUCUCCAACAUGUCACCCGCAAUAGUAUCAAACCCCUGAAGACAAGAAUUCAAGAAUUGAACAAUUUGAUGAUUUUGUUCAGAUUUGCCGACCUGGAAAGAUGACCAUUGUGAUUUUCCAAGCCUGACAUCACAUUGAAAGCAACAUUCAAAGUGACUUGAAUAACCCUUGAACUUUGUAUUGCGUGUAACUGAGUAUAUUACAGUAUUUUAUGACAAAAUUUCAGUUGGAUACAACCUUUCUUGACGUGCUUGUACUCAAGAUUUUAUUCAUUCAAUAAAUUGUGUAUUUUUUUUCCCAAAAAUUUUUAAAAUGUCUUGUGA
Long non-coding RNA from Xyrauchen texanus (razorback sucker), 643 nucleotides. RefSeq lists it as uncharacterized. The transcript has 4 exons. The record is from RefSeq and is a predicted model, not a curated record. NCBI's taxonomy places the organism in Eukaryota, Metazoa, Chordata, Actinopteri, Cypriniformes, Catostomidae.